UGUGGCAGAUGUCACACCGUCUCCUCUCUUCUUUCAGUCUGUUUUCAUUGUUCAUCUGCACUCCUCUCUCGUGUCCUGAAUGGAUGUGUUGUUGGAGUCUCUGUGAGUCUGUGCGCAGGUCAUCUCUCUGUGGGACACGGUCAGAGUCUGUCCUGUACUGUCUGGAUCAUCUGACCGCUGUGAGCUGGGAGUGAGAGACGACUGACACAUGAAGGACACAGACUUUAUGUUGCAGCACCACGGCCAGUAGGGCUGUCACCUACAUCUCAGCUGCUCUAGAGUAGACUCACUUGAGUGAGAUGAUGCUCUGCGCCACUACAGGACGCGCGAGCGUGUUUACUGCGAAGUAACACGUGACUAACUAGAACCGAAAGUGAAAGAGGAUGAAAAGAAGAGACGCCAUUUCAAGGUUUUAAACCUGUCAACAUUAGAUAUUUAAACCGCCUGUUUUGUGGUAAGUUAAGAAUGUAUUUAUUUAUUAAGAAUUGAUCAUGUAAGUGUAUGUCGCCUACACUGAGCUGCUUUUUGUGUGUUGCUGUUCUUUACAUUAGAUUUAAACCUCGAUCAUUCGACAGUUUAACAGCUCUGGACAAAAUGGCCGAAACGUAAUUUAGACAACUGAAGUGCGUAGCUGAAUUAUUCUGAUAUACAGACUUUGACUAUUGAAGAGGACGAAGGUCGGAAGAAUACGGAGACAGAAGAAUGCGAGUUCCAUAAAUAUUUUACUUUAAACUGUAAAUCCUAAUUGUUGCAGACAUGCACUGUACUUCCAUUACGCCUCCUACCAACUCCUCCUCCUCAAAAAGAAAAAAGAAAAAAAAAGAAGAUAAAAAGGACCUAAACCUAUAUGGUAUCCGAGUAUCAGAUACUGAAAGGAUUUGCUAAAGUGAAUUAAAUGGCAUCAUAUGACCCCUUUA
Molecule: long non-coding RNA, 917 nt
Organism: Sinocyclocheilus anshuiensis
Lineage: Eukaryota; Metazoa; Chordata; Actinopteri; Cypriniformes; Cyprinidae
Exons: 3
Source: RefSeq, a predicted model, not a curated record